GAACGCUGGCGGCAGGCUUAACACAUGCAAGUCGCAGGAGAAGCAGGACUUCGGUUUUGUGGACACUGGCGGACGGGUGAGUAACGCGUGGGAACCUACCUCGGAGUGGGGGACAACCGCUGGAAACGGCGGCUAAUACCGCAUACGCCCUCAGGGGGAAAGCUUCGGCGCCCUGAGAUGGUCCCGCGUCGGAUUAGCUUGUUGGUGGGGUAACGGCCUACCAAGGCGACGAUCCGUAGCUGGUCUGAGAGGAUGAUCAGCCACACUGGAACUGAGACACGGUCCAGACUCCUACGGGAGGCAGCAGUGGGGAAUAUUGGACAAUGGGGGCAACCCUGAUCCAGCCAUGCCGCGUGGGUGAAGAAGGCCUUAGGGUUGUAAAACCCUUUCAGCGGGGAAGAUGAUGACGGUACCCGCAGAAGAAGCCCCGGCUAACUCCGUGCCAGCAGCCGCGGUAAU
This 459-nucleotide ribosomal RNA is filed under the name uncultured bacterium. RNAcentral's name for it is "bacterial SSU rRNA". It matches the Rfam family "Bacterial small subunit ribosomal RNA", at positions 31 to 524 of the family's 1533-position model. The record is from RNAcentral.